Molecule: long non-coding RNA, 712 nt
Organism: Daphnia pulex (common water flea)
Lineage: Eukaryota; Metazoa; Arthropoda; Branchiopoda; Diplostraca; Daphniidae
Exons: 2
Source: RefSeq, a predicted model, not a curated record
CACCCUGGCAAACAGGGCGGACAUUUUGAACGCAAGACUCGGCUAACAGAAUGCAGAGAGAACAAGAUGGCGCUCGUUCCAGAAACAUCUCCUCCCGCCUAGUGGUUGAAUCGAAGAACGACGACGAACCCUGGACGCCAAAAAGUGUUUCAACGCGCGCGGAUAGCGAUUGCGAGACGGAUUACGACGACGGCUACAACACGGUUUGAUAUUUUAUUUUGGCGGUCGGUCGGUCGGUCGGUCGGUCGGUAGCAGUUGAAACGCGUCAUGUUCAGGGAGGUUCUGCCGCAGCUGCUGCACGCCGCUGACAUGUUUUGAACAACACGCCCUCGUUGCUACGGCUCCUCCCCUGUACGCUUUAAACUCUAUCAUCCCUUGUCGCCGCCCUGCCGAAACUUAUUCUUUUUUUUUAUUAUUUUUAAAUUUUUUUUUCGUCUUUUUUUCGCUCGAGAUUCCCUUAAAUGUGCUCUUCUUUUUCGGUUGAUUUGGGAGGAUGUAAACAAAUCCAUUUUUGUCCGCACCCGCCAAGAAAAAACGAAUUUAUUGGAACGUUUAAGUUGGUAUUGAUAAUAAUCAAGCCCAACAUCUCUACUCUGAUGGACUAUUGAUACGAAAUUCAUAAAAACAUGCAACACGUCAUUGGAAACUAUAACGAAUAAAUUAGUGCACACUUUCUAAUCAUUAAAAUACAUGACAGUUGUUCAAAGCGGUU